This 328-nucleotide ribosomal RNA is filed under the name uncultured eukaryote. Its description in RNAcentral is "partial 18S ribosomal RNA". It matches the Rfam family "Eukaryotic small subunit ribosomal RNA", at positions 1470 to 1796 of the family's 1831-position model. The record is from RNAcentral.
CCCUUAGAUGUUCUGGGCUGCACGCGCGCUACACUGAUGCGCUCAACGAGUUUACGAACUUGCCCGGAAGGGUUGGUUAAUCUUUUUAAAACGCAUCGUGAUGGGGAUAGAUUAUUGCAAUUAUUAAUCUUCAACGAGGAAUGCCUAGUAGGCGCAAGUCAUCAGCUUGCGUCGAUUACGUCCCUGCCCUUUGUACACACCGCCCGUCGCUCCUACCGAUUGGGUGUGCUGGUGAAAUGUUCGGAUCGGCCGUUUGUCGCGGUUUCCGCGUCAUGUGGCUGAGAAGUUCAUUAAACCCUCCCACCUAGAGGAAGGAGAAGUCGUAACA